Ceratotherium simum simum (southern white rhinoceros) is the source of this 831-nucleotide non-coding RNA. The record is from RefSeq and is a predicted model, not a curated record. NCBI's taxonomy places the organism in Eukaryota, Metazoa, Chordata, Mammalia, Perissodactyla, Rhinocerotidae.
AGGCUGAGCACUGUUGUUCGGGCACUGGCUCACAUUUAGGCUCUGUGGAUGGAGGAUGCCAUGGGCGGAGGAUUCCAGUGGGUCAGGAAAGAAGACAGGAACCCAGUAAAAACUCAGGAAUACAAACAAGGCACGGCAUCAAGACGUGCAAACUGGGAGAAUGAGUGAAACAGGCAGGGUGGAGAAGAGGAGGCCUCCAAUGAGAAGGCAUCCAAUUAGGUGUCCAAUGAGAGGGACUUCAUGGCAGGCAUGCCCCCACUCCCUCUGUGUCUGUGGCAGACAAAGCUAGCUGAUCUGUGCCUGCUCUCCUGCUACUGGCUGAGCUCAGAGAGCUCCUCAGUAGCCCAGAAAUAUACUGUAGGCCUGCGAGCACCUUCUUCCUGCAUCCAGGCCAGACACUGCUAAUCAAUCGUAGCACUCAUGUCACCACUUUCCUAUACUGCAUCCAUGGCAGACAUCACCAAUCGAUUAGGUCACUCUUCCCAGCUACGUAUCCAUUCUUCAGAAUCCUUCAGAGCACAGGGCUCCAGGCAGCCACUACCAACUGACUGUGGCUGAUGAAUGAGAUGAAAACUCUGCCAUCCCUGUGGAAAGUUCUUGGACUGGGGAAGAGGGCGAGGCCACUGGGAGGUCAGGGAGGGUUUCAGCAGGAGGAAGGAUGUGAGCAGUGUGGACAGGCAGAGAGGAGUCAGGGAGGAGGACCGUCUCGGCAGGGGUGGGAUGCAGUGUGGGAUGCAGCAGUAGCUGUCUGAGAAGAGAAGCCAUGAGGAUGAUGGAGAAGCUGAAAACCCAGGCUGGGGCCGACCCAUGGACUGCAGGGUGCAAGGGAGG